GAUGAACGCUGGCGGCGUGCCUAAUACAUGCAAGUCGAGCGAACGGACGAGAAGCUUGCUUCUCUGAUGUUAGCGGCGGACGGGUGAGUAACACGUGGAUAACCUACCUAUAAGACUGGGAUAACUUCGGGAAACCGGAGCUAAUACCGGAUAAUAUUUUGAACCGCAUGGUUCAAAAGUGAAAGACGGUCUUGCUGUCACUUAUAGAUGGAUCCGCGCUGCAUUAGCUAGUUGGUAAGGUAACGGCUUACCAAGGCAACGAUGCAUAGCCGACCUGAGAGGGUGAUCGGCCACACUGGAACUGAGACACGGUCCAGACUCCUACGGGAGGCAGCAGUAGGGAAUCUUCCGCAAUGGGAGAAAGCCUGACGGAGCAACGCCGCGUGAGUGAAGAAGGUCUUCGGAUCGUAAAACUCUGUUAUUAGGGAAGAACAUAUGUGUAAGUAACUGUGCACAUCUUGACGGUACCUAAUCAGAAAGCCACGGCUAACUACGUG
Molecule: ribosomal RNA, 497 nt
Filed under: uncultured bacterium
Lineage: Bacteria
Description: partial 16S ribosomal RNA
Rfam family: Bacterial small subunit ribosomal RNA
Source: RNAcentral